AGAGUUUGAUCCUGGCUCAGGACGAACGCUGGCGGCGCGUCUAAGACAUGCUAGUCGAGCGAAUCCCUUUCGGGAGAUUAGCGGCGAACCGGUGAGUAACACGUACUUAACGUACCCUCGAGUUUGGAAUAGCAGUGCGAAAGCGCUGGUAAUACCAAAUACGUUGGAGAUAUCAUACGAUUUUUUCAAGAAAGCCUUCGGGCGCUCGUGGAUCGGGGUGCGGCCUAUUAGUUAGAUGGUGGGGUAACGGCCUACCAUGGCGAUGAUGGGUAGCUGGUCUGAGAGGAUGGUCAGCCACACUGGGACUGCGAUAAGGCCCAGACUCCUACGGGAGGCAGCAGUUAAGAAUCUUGCACAAUUAGCGAAAGCUAGAUGCAGCGACGCCGCGUGAAGGAUGAAGGCCUUCGGGUCGUAAACUUCUGUUUCGGGGGAAGAUAAUGACGGUACCCCGGCAGAAAGCCCCGGCCAAUUACGUGCCAGCAGCCGCGGUAAUACGUAAGGGGCGAGCGUUGUCCGGAAUCACUGGGCGUAAAGCGCGCGUAGGCGGUUUGGUAAGUCGGAUGUGAAAUACCCGGGCUCAACCCGGGAACUGCGUUCGAA
Molecule: ribosomal RNA, 600 nt
Filed under: uncultured bacterium
Lineage: Bacteria
Description: bacterial SSU rRNA
Rfam family: Bacterial small subunit ribosomal RNA
Source: RNAcentral